AAGACUUUACUUCCAGGGAUCAUUCCUAUCGUCCAUUACUAAAAAAGUUUCUCUGAACAUGUAGAGCACAGGACACCACAAGGAGGAGGCACAACAUUCUCCCUGGAGCCUGAAGCUGGCUUUCAGAGGUUGAGGCAGGCAGAUCACGAGGU
Callithrix jacchus (white-tufted-ear marmoset) is the source of this 152-nucleotide small nucleolar RNA. Its record names the gene U3. It matches the Rfam family "Small nucleolar RNA U3". Rfam says of the family: Small nucleolar RNAs (snoRNAs) are involved in the processing and modification of rRNA in the nucleolus. Lineage: Eukaryota; Metazoa; Chordata; Mammalia; Primates; Cebidae. The record is from Ensembl.